This 403-nucleotide ribosomal RNA is filed under the name Hyalomma aegyptium. Its description in RNAcentral is "partial large subunit ribosomal RNA". The record is from RNAcentral. Lineage: Eukaryota; Metazoa; Arthropoda; Arachnida; Ixodida; Ixodidae.
UAUUUUGACUAUACAAAGGUAUUGUAAUAAGAUUUUAAUUGAAUGCUAAAAGAAUGGAAGUUUAGAAAAAGUCUUUUUAAAAAAUAAAAAUUAAAAUUUUUUUAAUUUGUGCAGAAACAAUUAUUUAUAUUAAAGACAAGAAGACCCUAAGAAUUUUCUGGUUCAAUAAUUUAUAUAUUUAAUUUAUUAAACCUUGGUUGGGGCGAUCAAAAAAUAUUAAUAACUUUUUUUCAUUAAAAUGAUCUAUUAUUAAUAAAUUAAUGAAUUAAAUACUCUAGGGAUAACAGCGUAAUAAUUUUUGAUAGAUCUUAUAGACAAAAUAGUUUGCGACCUCGAUGUUGGAUUAGGAUUCUUUUUUGGUGAAGAAACCAAAAAAAGAAGUUUGUUCAACUUUUAAACUCCU